Molecule: ribosomal RNA, 301 nt
Filed under: uncultured bacterium
Lineage: Bacteria
Description: partial 16S ribosomal RNA
Rfam family: Bacterial small subunit ribosomal RNA
Source: RNAcentral
CAGCAGCCGCGGGAAUACGAAGGGGGCUAGCGUUGCUCGGAAUGACUGGGCGUAAAGGGCGCGUAGGCGGCGAUCAAAGUCAGGCGUGAAAUUCCUGGGCUCAACCUGGGGGCUGCGUUUGAUACUUGGUUGCUAGAGUGAGGAAGAGGGUCGUGGAAUUCCCAGUGUAGAGGUGAAAUUCGUAGAUAUUGGGAAGAACACCGGUGGCGAAGGCGGCGACCUGGUCCUUGACUGACGCUGAGGCGCGAAAGCGUGGGGAGCAAACAGGAUUAGAUACCCCAGUAGUCCCUGUCUCUUAUAC